Molecule: unclassified non-coding RNA, 349 nt
Filed under: fungal sp.
Lineage: Eukaryota; Fungi
Description: partial internal transcribed spacer region
Rfam family: Eukaryotic small subunit ribosomal RNA (bases 1-46)
Source: RNAcentral
AAGUCGUAACAAGGUUUCCGUAGGUGAACCCGCGGAAGGAUCAUUAACACGUAUCCAAACGUUAAAACCCCCCCCCGUAAACCUUCGUCCUGCUCUUGUAACCCGCGUAGUUCGCAAUCUCUGAUAAAUCAUAGCCCGGAAAGUUGUAGUGAUUCAGAGACCUCUGGCUACGUGCGAACAUUGGAACACUUACAGCGCUUCUACAAUUCCUGUAGACCGUACACUCGGGCAGGAGCUUUGCCAAAGGGUCCCCAUGCCCCCUAAUAACCCCACAGUUUAAUGUGAAGCUCAAUGUAAUACAUUGGGUAAAAAAACCGAACAACUGUUAACAAUGGAUAUCUUGGUUCUC